AGUGGCGAACGGGUGAGUAACGCGUAAGCAAUCUACCUUCAAGAUGGGGACAACACUUCGAAAGGGGUGCUAAUACCGAAUGAAUGUAAGAGUAUCGCAUGAGACACUUACUAAAGGAGGCCUCUGACAUAAGCUUCCGCUUGAAGAUGAGCUUGCGUCUGAUUAGCUAGUUGGUGAGGGUAAAGGCCCACCAAGGCGACGAUCAGUAGCCGGUCUGAGAGGAUGAACGGCCACAUUGGGACUGAGACACGGCCCAGACUCCUACGGGAGGCAGCAGUGGGGAAUCUUCCGCAAUGGGCGAAAGCCUGACGGAGCAACGCCGCGUGAACGAUGAAGGUCUUAGGAUCGUAAAGUUCUGUUGUUAGGG
Molecule: ribosomal RNA, 367 nt
Filed under: uncultured bacterium
Lineage: Bacteria
Description: bacterial SSU rRNA
Rfam family: Bacterial small subunit ribosomal RNA
Source: RNAcentral